RNAcentral lists this ribosomal RNA (1159 nucleotides) under Salmonella enterica. RNAcentral describes it as "partial 23S ribosomal RNA". It matches the Rfam family "Bacterial large subunit ribosomal RNA", at positions 1 to 1190 of the family's 2925-position model. The record is from RNAcentral. Lineage: Bacteria; Pseudomonadati; Pseudomonadota; Gammaproteobacteria; Enterobacterales; Enterobacteriaceae. RNAcentral also lists the same sequence under 1 other name.
GGGUUGUGAGGUUAAGCGACUAAGCGUACACGGUGGAUGCCCUGGCAGUCAGAGGCGAUGAAGGGCGUGCUAAUCUGCGAUAAGCGCCGGUAAGGUGAUAUGAACCGUUAUAACCGACGAUACCCGAAUGGGGAAACCCAGUGUGACUCGUCACACUAUCAUUAACUGAAUCCAUAGGUUAAUGAGGCGAACCGGGGGAACUGAAACAUCUAAGUACCCCGAGGAAAAGAAAUCAACCGAGAUUCCCCCAGUAGCGGCGAGCGAACGGGGAGGAGCCCAGAGCCUGAAUCAGCAUGUGUGUUAGUGGAAGCGUCUGGAAAGGCGCGCGAUACAGGGUGACAGCCCCGUACACAAAAGCGCAUGUGCUGUGAGCUCGAUGAGUAGGGCGGGACACGUGGUAUCCUGUCUGAAUAUGGGGGGACCAUCCUCCAAGGCUAAAUACUCCUGACUGACCGAUAGUGAACCAGUACCGUGAGGGAAAGGCGAAAAGAACCCCGGCGAGGGGAGUGAAAAAGAACCUGAAACCGUGUACGUACAAGCAGUGGGAGCACAGGUUUACCUGUGUGACUGCGUACCUUUUGUAUAAUGGGUCAGCGACUUAUAUUCUGUAGCAAGGUUAACCGAAUAGGGGAGCCGCAGGGAAACCGAGUCUUAAUUGGGCGUUAAGUUGCAGGGUAUAGACCCGAAACCCGGUGAUCUAGCCAUGGGCAGGUUGAAGGUUGGGUAACACUAACUGGAGGACCGAACCGACUAAUGUUGAAAAAUUAGCGGAUGACCUGUGGCUGGGGGUGAAAGGCCAAUCAAACCGGGAGAUAGCUGGUUCUCCCCGAAAGCUAUUUAGGUAGCGCCUCGUGAAUUCAUCUCCGGGGGUAGAGCACUGUUUCGGCUAGGGGGCCAUCCCGGCUUACCAACCCGAUGCAAACUGCGAAUACCGGAGAAUGUUAUCACGGGAGACACACGGCGGGUGCUAACGUCCGUCGUGAAGAGGGAAACAACCCAGACCGCCAGCUAAGGUCCCAAAGUCAUGGUUAAGUGGGAAACGAUGUGGGAAGGCCCAGACAGCCAGGAUGUUGGCUUAGAAGCAGCCAUCAUUUAAAGAAAGCGUAAUAGCUCACUGGUCGAGUCGGCCUGCGCGGAAGAUGUAACGGGGCUAAACCAU